Molecule: non-coding RNA, 415 nt
Filed under: Pongo abelii (Sumatran orangutan)
Lineage: Eukaryota; Metazoa; Chordata; Mammalia; Primates; Hominidae
Source: RNAcentral
GGAAGCCCUAAGAACUCAAGGGAGAUAGGGGUAGCAGGGGCAUUUCCCUGGAUGCCUGGAGCAUGGAGGGUGCGAAAUAAGGAAGCUUUCCUACCCCGUUGAUGAGCUGAAGUUGAUUCCGCACGGGGAAGGAAAGGGACAGGAAGCAUAAUUGGAUGUGCAAGCCUGUGGUUCUUCAGGAAGUUAACACGUGGAACUAACACUGUUGGAUGCUGCUGAACUCUCAGAAAAAUCAUCAUUGACAUCCAACACCAGCACUGGAAUGUUCAUCAGAGCCUCAAAGUGGAGCCUACAAGAAGCAUGAACGUUUGGGGGGACAGAAAAAAAGAAAACUUGAGUCCAGUUUCACAUACUCACAAGUCUUACUCAGAGAACAGAUCUAAAUUCAACAUGACUUUUCAAAGAAACUGCAUGU